This 222-nucleotide ribosomal RNA is filed under the name uncultured bacterium. RNAcentral describes it as "partial 16S ribosomal RNA". It matches the Rfam family "Bacterial small subunit ribosomal RNA", at positions 41 to 243 of the family's 1533-position model. The record is from RNAcentral.
GGCGUGGUUAAGACAUGCAAGUCGAACGAGAUUGUUUAAUUUGACGCUUCGGUUGAUUUUUAAACAUGAGAGUGGCAAACGGGUGCGUAACACGUGAACAACCUACCGUAAAGUUUGGGAUAGCUCGAGGAAACUCGAAUUAAUACCGGAUGUGGUUAAGAAACUCAUGUUUCUGAUACUAAAGCUUGUAAUGGCGCUUUAUGAGGGGUUCGCGGCCUAUCA